This 486-nucleotide long non-coding RNA is filed under the name Elaeis guineensis (African oil palm). RNAcentral's name for it is "long non-coding RNA (EGUI_LNC033045)". The record is from RNAcentral. Lineage: Eukaryota; Viridiplantae; Streptophyta; Magnoliopsida; Arecales; Arecaceae.
CACUAACUCAAGUAGGGGAUUUGCUCUAUAGGCCGAAAAGAAAGCAUUUUUUAGAUACUUAUUACAGGCCCGACCAGGAGUGCGAAAGAGCUUGAUUUAGAAUUAGAGUAAGGGCAUGCUAAGACAUUCCUUUUCUUGCUUUCGACAGGACCCCUUUCUGACAGGAGAAAGAAGAUUAUGCCAAUUGCCAAUGGAGUUGAUAGCGAUUACGACUAACAAGGGCAGGAGAUGAAUGAACGAAUCGUACUACAACUGUUGAAGAGAGAUCAGAGCUAGUACUAGAAGAAGCGAUAGCAGACAAAAGAGCUCAGAGAGCAGUGCAGCUAGGUGGGAAGAUCUGUAAUCUAUUUGAAAGAGCAUAUCACAAAGACCGAUAUAUUGCACAUACUGAUUGAUUAAAUAGAUUGAGUCUCAAUUAGAGAGACUUAUGAUCUAUUUAUAGUACCCCCACCGAUGAGACUUUCCAACUCGAGGCUAGAAGCUACC